CCUACGGGAGGCAGCAGUAGGGAAUCUUCCACAAUGGGCGAAAGCCUGAUGGAGCAACGCCGCGUGGGUGAAGAAGGUCUUCGGAUCGUAAAACCCUGUUGUUAGAGAAGAAAGUGCGUGAGAGUAACUGUUCACGUUUCGACGGUAUCUAACCAGACAGCCACGGCUAACUACGUGCCAGCAGCCGCGGUAAUACGUAGGUGGCAAGCGUUAUCCGGAUUUAUUGGGCGUAAAGGGAACGCAGGCGGUCUUUUAAGUCUGAUGUGAAAGCCUUCGGCUUAACCGGAGUAGUGCAUUGGAAACUGGGAGACUGGAGUGCAGAAGAGGAGAGUGGAACUCCAUGUGUAGCGGUGAAAUGCGUAGAUAUAUGGAAGAACACCAGUGGCGAAAGCGGCUCUCUGGUCUGUAACUGACGCUGAGGUUCGAAAGCGUGGGUAGCAAACAGGAUUAGAUACCCGUGUAGUC
Molecule: ribosomal RNA, 465 nt
Filed under: uncultured bacterium
Lineage: Bacteria
Description: partial 16S ribosomal RNA
Rfam family: Bacterial small subunit ribosomal RNA
Source: RNAcentral